Molecule: ribosomal RNA, 155 nt
Filed under: Bacteroidetes bacterium enrichment culture clone 4.17a Bac band 1
Lineage: Bacteria; Pseudomonadati; Bacteroidota
Description: partial 16S ribosomal RNA
Rfam family: Bacterial small subunit ribosomal RNA
Source: RNAcentral
ACGGGAGGCAGCAGUGAGGAAUAUUGGUCAAUGGACGCAAGUCUGAACCAGCCAUGUCGCGUGCAGGAUGACGGCCCUAUGGGUUGUAAACUGCUUUUUUACAGGAAUAAUUGUCGCUACGUGUAGUGAUUUGAAUGUACUGUAUGAAUAAGGAU